AAACUUUCAACAACGGAUCUUUUGGUUUUGGCAUCGAUGAAGAACGCAGCGAAAUGCGAUAAGUAAUGUGAAUUGCAGAAUUCAGUGAAUCAUCGAAUCUUUGAACGCACAUUGCGCCCCCUGGUAUUCCGGGGGGCAUGCCUGUUCGAGCGUCAUU
This 157-nucleotide ribosomal RNA is filed under the name Aspicilia subdepressa. RNAcentral's name for it is "5.8S ribosomal RNA". It matches the Rfam family "5.8S ribosomal RNA". Rfam says of the family: 5.8S ribosomal RNA (5.8S rRNA) is a component of the large subunit of the eukaryotic ribosome. It is transcribed by RNA polymerase I as part of the 45S precursor that also contains 18S and 28S rRNA. The record is from RNAcentral. Lineage: Eukaryota; Fungi; Ascomycota; Lecanoromycetes; Pertusariales; Megasporaceae.